CAAGGAGAAACACUCAAGAGUUCUAUCUGCACUGUUGCUGUGUUAGGAGUUGAUGAGGCAUUCCAUAUACUGGAUCAGGAAACCGUCCAAAAGUUGAUUGAUGCAUUUGAGAUUGUGGUUGAGACAGAGGCUGCUGCUGCUGAACCGGAUGCUGCCGCCGAACCAGAUGCUGCCGCUGAGGGGGGUGCUACUGGUGAUGAGGGUGCUGCUGCUGCAGCUGAUGAGGGUGCGGCUCCAAUGGAAAUAUGAUGCAAG
RNAcentral lists this long non-coding RNA (255 nucleotides) under Populus tremula. RNAcentral describes it as "long non-coding RNA (PTRE_LNC002287)". Lineage: Eukaryota; Viridiplantae; Streptophyta; Magnoliopsida; Malpighiales; Salicaceae. The record is from RNAcentral.